CAGCCAGCCGGCUCGUGAAGAAUCAUGGAUGGUGAAAUUGGAUGGCGAGAAAAAGGAGGAAUAAAAAGGCCGGAAAAGAGUCCAUUUAUUUUGAAAAUCGAUCCUUUUCUCAAUGUGCCAUUUCACUCUUCACUUU
Caenorhabditis elegans is the source of this 136-nucleotide non-coding RNA. The record is from Ensembl. NCBI's taxonomy places the organism in Eukaryota, Metazoa, Nematoda, Chromadorea, Rhabditida, Rhabditidae.